Long non-coding RNA from Cloeon dipterum, 449 nucleotides. RefSeq lists it as uncharacterized. Lineage: Eukaryota; Metazoa; Arthropoda; Insecta; Ephemeroptera; Baetidae. The transcript is spliced from 3 exons. The record is from RefSeq and is a predicted model, not a curated record.
UGCCCGUGAGAAAUGCUGCGCUUUGGGCAUGAAACUGCUCUCCGUCAAAUCUGCUGCCAAACGCAAUUGCUUGGCCAGACUCACGAAGAGCUACAUUGUAUCCAGAAAUAAUAAUGACAUCUCCGAUGAGUUUUGGACCUCUGGCACCGAUCUGGACUGCAAGGGCAACUUCCGAUGGUGCUCGGUGGACAGGGCCUUUCUGAGGAGCGAAGUCCGUUGGGCCACUGUCAAACCAAAUGACAAAUUGGAGCGCUGCGUCACGAUUCAAAUGAGCGACAAGGAGACGAUCACAACUCUGCAAACGGCCGACUGCAGUGAAAACAGGCGAUACAUCUGUGAGGUGCGUCAAACUGCAACCACAGUGCGAUCUAUACAAAAUGAAUGUAUUGAUCUGAUUGGUCUUUCCGAUGAUGAAGUUGAUGCUCUCGACAAUAUAUAUAUGUACAAUU